This 45-nucleotide non-coding RNA is filed under the name Schistosoma margrebowiei. The record is from RNAcentral. Lineage: Eukaryota; Metazoa; Platyhelminthes; Trematoda; Strigeidida; Schistosomatidae.
ACCUUGCUGACGAGUGCCAAGUAACACGAAACCCGGGUCCAUGGU